CGUGUAGGCGGCUUAUUAAGUCAGAUGUGAAAGCCCACGGCUUAACCGUGGAACUGCAUUUGAAACUGGUAGGCUUGAGUAUGAGAAGGGGUAGUGGAAUUCCCAGUGUAGCGGUGAAAUGCGUAGAUAUUGGGAAGAACACCAGUAGCGAAGGCGGCUACCUGGCUCAUUACUGACGCUAAUGCGCGAAAGCGCGGGGAGCAAACA
RNAcentral lists this ribosomal RNA (207 nucleotides) under uncultured bacterium. RNAcentral describes it as "partial 16S ribosomal RNA". It matches the Rfam family "Bacterial small subunit ribosomal RNA", at positions 568 to 774 of the family's 1533-position model. The record is from RNAcentral.